AUGCGGAAGCAGGUCCAUCAAAAGAAGUAUGGAGCAGCAGAAGUGGCACUUCUGUAAGACAUCACCACAAAAAACCUGUGGCCGAAAAGAAAGCAAGGUCGUAUGUCCCGGCCCAAACACAGCAGGCUACCCCGCCAUGAAGAUUAUCGUCCGUAUGUUCUGUCCCCCCACUCCAAAUUUUGGACACACCUCCAAGACGUCAUCCACACUCCCCUCAUCUUGAUUCUUCUAGUCCUGGGAACAGCAUCCCUCCGCAACAACAGCAACACAGUGACAUGGAGGAGACAAACAUCUUAGAAAUGCAGCCA
Long non-coding RNA from Pseudophryne corroboree (corroboree frog), 308 nucleotides. RefSeq lists it as uncharacterized. Lineage: Eukaryota; Metazoa; Chordata; Amphibia; Anura; Myobatrachidae. The transcript is spliced from 3 exons. The record is from RefSeq and is a predicted model, not a curated record.